RNAcentral lists this ribosomal RNA (249 nucleotides) under uncultured Actinomycetales bacterium. RNAcentral's name for it is "partial 16S ribosomal RNA". It matches the Rfam family "Bacterial small subunit ribosomal RNA", at positions 84 to 334 of the family's 1533-position model. The record is from RNAcentral. Lineage: Bacteria; Bacillati; Actinomycetota; Actinomycetes; Actinomycetales.
GGGGUGCUCGAGUGGCGAACGGGUGAGUAACACGUGAGUAACCUGCCCUUGACUUUGGGAUAACUUCAGGAAACUGGGGCUAAUACCGGAUAGGAGCUCCUGCUGCAUGGUGGGGGUUGGAAAGUUUCGGCGGUUGGGGAUGGACUCGCGGCUUAUCAGCUUGUUGGUGGGGUAGUGGCUUACCAAGGCUUUGACGGGUAGCCGGCCUGAGAGGGUGACCAGCCACAUUGGGACUGAGAUACGGCCCAG